This 263-nucleotide long non-coding RNA is filed under the name Trifolium pratense (red clover). Its description in RNAcentral is "long non-coding RNA (TPRA_LNC002860)". The record is from RNAcentral. Lineage: Eukaryota; Viridiplantae; Streptophyta; Magnoliopsida; Fabales; Fabaceae.
ACAUACAUAUUAUAAGAUACACCACUAUCCUACCCCUUGGACUUCUUUACUUACAACUUAAAACCAUUACAUUGCUCACCUAAUUAAGACUUAAAUAAGCUAAAUAAAACCAAACAGAGCGCAAUGCCUAACGUGAACUGCAGCACAAAACUUCAAUUCAACCCAUACAUUACAGGGAUAUACAUGCACACAAAUAAACUAAACAAAAAUUAUUACAACAAAGGCCAAAAGGUAACAUCCUCAGCUAUGUGGUAGCUCAUUUC